RNAcentral lists this long non-coding RNA (247 nucleotides) under Elaeis guineensis (African oil palm). RNAcentral's name for it is "long non-coding RNA (EGUI_LNC077241)". Lineage: Eukaryota; Viridiplantae; Streptophyta; Magnoliopsida; Arecales; Arecaceae. The record is from RNAcentral.
GUGGCAAGUGAUGAUGCCAUCUCGAUAAUAUAGAUCCCCUUAUUGUUAUGGAAAUGAUGAUGAACAUUAUUAUGAAAAUUAUUAUCAUCAUGAAGCUUCAUAUGAAGUUCAAACCUCCUACUUGAUUGAGACUUUUAUGGAUUGGAAAAAUUAACGAAAACAAAAGAAAAGAUGAAAAAUAUUAAAAGAUAAGUUUUCUUGAUUCUUUUCUUGGAUUUAUUGGGUUACUUUCAAGUAUAUAAUAAUA